This 931-nucleotide ribosomal RNA is filed under the name Gloeosoma mirabile. RNAcentral describes it as "eukaryotic LSU rRNA". It matches the Rfam family "Eukaryotic large subunit ribosomal RNA", at positions 30 to 949 of the family's 3401-position model. Lineage: Eukaryota; Fungi; Basidiomycota; Agaricomycetes; Russulales; Stereaceae. The record is from RNAcentral.
GAACUUAAGCAUAUCAAUAAGCGGAGGAAAAGAAACUAACAAGGAUUCCCCUAGUAACUGCGAGUGAAGCGGGAAAAGCUCAAAUUUAAAAUCUGGCGGUCUCGGCCGUCCGAGUUGUAGUCUGGAGAAGCGUUUUCCGCGUUGGACCGUGUACAAGUUUCCUGGAACGGAGCGUCAUAGAGGGUGAGAAUCCCGUCUUUGACACGGACCCCAAGGCUUUGUGAUGCGCUCUCAAAGAGUCGAGUUGUUUGGGAAUGCAGCUCAAAAUGGGUGGUGAAUUCCAUCUAAAGCUAAAUAUUGGCGAGAGACCGAUAGCGAACAAGUACCGUGAGGGAAAGAUGAAAAGCACUUUGGAAAGAGAGUUAAACAGUACGUGAAAUUGUUGAAAGGGAAACGCUUGAAGUCAGUCGCGUCGGCCGGGACUCAGCCUUGCUUCCGCUUGGUGUACUUUCCGGUCGACGGGCCAGCAUCAAUUUUGACCGCGAGAUAAAGGUGGAGGAAAUGUGGCUCCCUCGGGAGUGUUAUAGUCCUCCGCCACAUGUCGUGGUUGGGAUUGAGGAACUCAGCACGCCUUUAUGGUCGGGGUUCGCCCACGUUCGUGCUUAGGAUGCUGGCGUAAUGGCUUUAAACGACCCGUCUUGAAACACGGACCAAGGAGUCUAACAUGCCUGCGAGUGUUCGGGUGGAAAACCCGUGCGCGUAAUGAAAGUGAAAGUUGGGAUCCCUGUCGUGGGGUGCACCGACGCCCGGACCAGAACUUCUGUGACGGAUCUGCGGUAGAGCAUGUAUGUUGGGACCCGAAAGAUGGUGAACUAUGCCUGAAUAGGGUGAAGCCAGAGGAAACUCUGGUGGAGGCUCGUAGCGAUUCUGACGUGCAAAUCGAUCGUCAAAUUUGGGUAUAGGGGCGAAAGACUAAUCGAACCAUCUAGUA